RNAcentral lists this ribosomal RNA (506 nucleotides) under uncultured bacterium. RNAcentral's name for it is "partial 16S ribosomal RNA". It matches the Rfam family "Bacterial small subunit ribosomal RNA", at positions 30 to 523 of the family's 1533-position model. The record is from RNAcentral.
AUUGAACGCUGGCGGCAUGCCUUACACAUGCAAGUCGAACGGUAACAGGAAGCAGCUUGCUGCUUCGCUGACGAGUGGCGGACGGGUGAGUAAUGUCUGGGAAACUGCCUGAUGGAGGGGGAUAACUACUGGAAACGGUAGCUAAUACCGCAUAACGUCGCAAGACCAAAGAGGGGGACCUUCGGGCCUCUUGCCAUCGGAUGUGCCCAGAUGGGAUUAGCUAGUAGGUGGGGUAACGGCUCACCUAGGCGACGAUCCCUAGCUGGUCUGAGAGGAUGACCAGCCACACUGGAACUGAGACACGGUCCAGACUCCUACGGGAGGCAGCAGUGGGGAAUAUUGCACAAUGGGCGCAAGCCUGAUGCAGCCAUGCCGCGUGUAUGAAGAAGGCCUUCGGGUUGUAAAGUACUUUCAGCGGGGAGGAAGGCGAUAAGGUUAAUAGCUUCACCGAUUGACGUUACCCGCAGAAGAAGCACCGGCUAACUCCGUGCCAGCCGCCGCCGUAA